UACGUAGGCAGCGAGCGUUGUUCGGAGUUACUGGGCGUAAAGAGUGCGUAGGCGGUUUUCUAAGUUUGGUGUGAAAUCUCCCGGCUCAACUGGGAGGGUGCGCCGAAGACUGGAAGGCUUGAGUAUGGGAGAGGUAAGCGGAAUUCCUGGUGUAGCAGUGAAAUGCGUAGAUAUCAGGAGGAAUACCGAUGGCGAAGGCAGGUCUCUGGGCUAUAACUGACGCUCAUGCACGAAAGCGUGGGGAGCAAACAGG
Molecule: ribosomal RNA, 253 nt
Filed under: uncultured bacterium
Lineage: Bacteria
Description: partial 16S ribosomal RNA
Rfam family: Bacterial small subunit ribosomal RNA
Source: RNAcentral